ACUCCUACGGGAGGCAGCAGUGGGGAAUAUUGCACAAUGGGCGCAAGCCUGAUGCAGCCAUGCCGCGUGUAUGAAGAAGGCCUUCGGGUUGUAAAGUACUUUCAGCAGUGAGGAAGGUGGGUGUGUUAAUAGCGCAUACUUCAUUGACUGUAGCUGCAGAAGAAGCACCGGCUAACUCCGUGCCAGCAGCCGCGGUAAUACGGA
Molecule: ribosomal RNA, 204 nt
Filed under: uncultured bacterium
Lineage: Bacteria
Description: partial 16S ribosomal RNA
Rfam family: Bacterial small subunit ribosomal RNA
Source: RNAcentral